UAGAGGAAGAUAGGUAGCCUAUUAAAAUGUCAGCGGCUGUCGCGUUUGCUUAGUUGUUUUUUUUUUUAGUAUUUGUCGUCUGUACAUUUUCCGUUUGAAUUUUCUAUCAUGCAAGCCUCAGAGAUUUGGUAGAUGCUUAAUGAUGUAGAGGUUGCGUUGAAUUUUGGAUUGUUCUCUCAAGUUAGCAGGCAGGUGCACUUUUCUCUUUUACGAAGGACUUCGAGUGCACUGGGGUCAGCAUAGAUACUUGUGUGUACGUAUAUUUGUGGUUUUUGUUAUUUUUCUACUUAUAGAUGGCUAAAAUCUGAGUUUGAAAGAUGGCCACUAUAAAUUCUUAAAAAGUGGCACCGCAUUUAGCCCCCCUUCGUACCGAUUCUGUUUUCGUCUCAAGCUCUUCAUUACUACAGCGCAAGUCUACCAUUACCACACCCACACACAGAUAUUACGGCUAAUGUUUAUUAGUCAAGUUUCCAUGAGCUCACUCUUUAUUCUUUUUCUCGUUUUCUUAUACCUAGUAUGUUUUCUGACGCUUUUUGAAGUGACAGAACAAAGGAGUUUAAAUUAGAUUUGCAAACGGACGGAACUAAAUACUGUCACUUUUAUGUCUAACUUAUCGUUAACUCUGCAAAAAGAGAAUAAGAGAAAGAAAAUCAGUGGAUAGGAGUAUAUAUAGAAAUGAUUUAUUCGAGUUUUUUUUGUUUUUCAGUAGAUUUUCGCCUUCAAAGGAAUAAAUUCCAUUAAGAAAAGGUAAAAAGAAAAAUCUAUUCACUGAACUUACUGAUAGAAUUUGCAAAUGUGUCAAGUGCAUCCAGGAGAAGAUAGAGGAAAAACCUAUUAGGCAAACAAGCCUAAAACAGCCAAGACAGGAUACCCUUUCUCAAGCAUUGUUAGUUUAUGGGCUNACUAGUAAGCGAAGAAUGAUACGGGAUGAAAAAAACAUAUUAUGAGAUUUUUCAGGAUGGAUUCUUUUAGGUAUCUAUCGAAACCAUUCUGAUGAUCAAUACAGUAUUUUUGUCGCAUUCUUAUUACGGUAGUGCAGACAUUAGUUUCCAAGCGGAAGAAACUGUGUGUUCAUUUUAUGGAUUUUCGUGUUGUACGAUUUUUGUCAGUUGCCUCAACAACUACGUGCCCACAAUACUUCCGAUGCAUUCAGAUAAUUUUUGGAAACAUU
This 1171-nucleotide telomerase RNA is filed under the name Saccharomyces paradoxus. It matches the Rfam family "Saccharomyces telomerase". The record is from RNAcentral. Lineage: Eukaryota; Fungi; Ascomycota; Saccharomycetes; Saccharomycetales; Saccharomycetaceae.